GACGAACGCUGGCGGCGUGCUUAACACAUGCAAGUCGAACGAGUGGCGAACGGGUGAGUAAUACGUGGGUAACCUGCCCUCCUUUUUGGGAUAAGCCUUGGAAACGGGGUCUAAUACCGGAUAGUGUGGGAUGGGCCAGCGGCCUAUCAGCUUGUUGGUGGGGUAAUGGCUACCAAGGCGCGACGGGUAGCCGGCCUGAGAGGGUGGACGGCAACACUGGGACUGAGACACGGCCCAGACUCCUACGGGAGGCAGCAGUGGGGAAUUUUGGACAAUGGGCGCAAUCCUGAUCCAGCCAUGCCGCUUGUCUGAAGAAGGCCUUCGGGUUGUAAAGGACUUUUGUUAGGGAGACGGUACCUGAAGAAUAAGCACCGGCUAACUACGUGCCAGCCGCCGCGGUAAUUC
This 405-nucleotide ribosomal RNA is filed under the name uncultured bacterium. RNAcentral's name for it is "partial 16S ribosomal RNA". It matches the Rfam family "Bacterial small subunit ribosomal RNA", at positions 28 to 526 of the family's 1533-position model. The record is from RNAcentral.